GUUUAUCAAAAACAUAGCCUUAAGAAAUAAUUUAAGGUAAGCCCUGCCCAGUGGAAAAUAUUCUUAACGGCCGCAGUACCUUGACUGUGCUAAGGUAGCGUAAUCAGUUGGCUUUUAAAUGGAGUCGAGAAUGAACGGGGCCAUGGGGAGAUACUGUCUCUUUCUUGAUUAAUUUAACUUGCUUAAUAGGUGAAAAUACCUUUAUAAAGAAAAAAGACGAGAAGACCCUUAGAGCCUAGCAAUAUAAUAUAGUUUAUUUGCUUUUGUUGGGGCGACAAGAAGACAAAAUAACUCUUCUUUAAUACUAAACGAUUAUAAUAUAUAAGAACAGGCUACCUUAGGGAUAACAGCAUAAUUAUACUUUUAGUUUGUGACCUCGAUGUUGGACUAGGAACUUGAUGACUAGUCGUCAAUAAAGGAAAGUUCUGUUCGAACUAUUUUUCCUACAUGAUCUGAGUUCAAACC
This 465-nucleotide ribosomal RNA is filed under the name Carychium minimum. RNAcentral's name for it is "partial 16S ribosomal RNA". It matches the Rfam family "Bacterial large subunit ribosomal RNA", at positions 1802 to 2617 of the family's 2925-position model. The record is from RNAcentral. Lineage: Eukaryota; Metazoa; Mollusca; Gastropoda; Ellobiida; Ellobiidae.